GGACUGAGACACGGCCCAGACUCCUACGGGAGGCAGCAGUGGGGAAUUUUCCGCAAUGGGCGCAAGCCUGACGGAGCAACGCCGCGUGUGGGAUGAAGGCCUGUGGGUUGUAAACCACUUUUCUCAGGGACGAACACAAUGACGGUACCUGAGGAAUCAGCCUCGGCUAACUCUGUGCCAGCAGCCGCGGUAAGACAGAGGAGGCAAGCGUUAUCCGGAAUUAUUGGGCGUAAAGCGUCCGUAGGUGGUCUAGCAAGUCUGGGGUUAAAGCCCGGAGCCCAACUCCGGAUCGGCCUUGGAAACUGCCAGACUCGAGUAAGGUAGGGGUUGCGGGAAUUCCCGGUGUAGCGGUAAAAUGCGUAGAUAUCGGGAAGAACACCAGCGGCGAAAGCGCGCAACUGGGCCAUUACUGACACUGAGGGACGAAAGCUAGGGGAGCGAAUGGGAUUAGAUACCCCAGUAGUCCUAGCCGUAAACGAUGGUGACUAGAUGUGGCUCGUAUUGACCCGAGCCGUGUCGUAGCUAACGCGAUAAGUCACCCGCCUGGGGAGUACGCACGCAAGUGUGAAACUCAAAGGAAUUGACGGGGGCCCGCACAAGCGGUGGAGCAUGUGGAUUAAUUCGAUGCAACGCGAAGAACCUUACCAGGGCUUGACAUCCUGCGAACCCCGCUGAAAGGUGGGGGUGCCUUCGGGAGCGCAGAGACAGGUGGUGCAUGGCUGUCGUCAGCUCGUGUCGUGAGAUGUUGGGUUAAGUCCCGCAACGAGCGCAACCCGCGUCCUUAGUUGCCAGCAUUUAGUUGGGCACUCUGGGGAGACUGCCGGUGACAAGCCGGAGGAAGGUGCGGAUGACGUCAAGUCAGCAUGCCCCUUACGCCCUGGGCGUCACACGUGCUACAAUGGCCAGCACAAAGGGUAGCCAG
RNAcentral lists this ribosomal RNA (922 nucleotides) under uncultured Cyanophyceae cyanobacterium. Its description in RNAcentral is "bacterial SSU rRNA". It matches the Rfam family "Bacterial small subunit ribosomal RNA", at positions 316 to 1253 of the family's 1533-position model. The record is from RNAcentral. Lineage: Bacteria; Bacillati; Cyanobacteriota; Cyanophyceae.